Molecule: ribosomal RNA, 512 nt
Filed under: uncultured bacterium
Lineage: Bacteria
Description: partial 16S ribosomal RNA
Rfam family: Bacterial small subunit ribosomal RNA
Source: RNAcentral
GAUGAACGCUGGCGGCAUGCCUAAUACAUGCAAGUCGAACGAGAGGAAGGAAAGCUUGCUUUUCUGAAUCUAGUGGCGAACGGGUGAGUAACACGUAGGUAACCUGCCCAUGUGCCCGGGAUAACUUCUGGAAACGGAUGCUAAAACCGGAUAGGUAGCAGACAAGCAUUUGACUGCUAUUAAAGUGGCUAAGGCCAUGAACAUGGAUGGACCUGCGGUGAAUUAGCUAGUUGGUGAGGUAACGGCCCACCAAGGCGACGAUGAAUAGCCGGCCUGAGAGGGCGGACGGCCACAUUGGGACUGAGACACGGCCCAAACUCCUACGGGAGGCAGCAGUAGGGAAUUUUCGUCAAUGGGGGGAACCCUGAACGAGCAAUGCCGCGUGAGUGAGGAAGGUCUUCGGAUCGUAAAGCUCUGUUGUAAGAGAAAAACGACAUUCAUAGGGAAUGAUGAGUGAGUGAUGGUAUCUUACCAGAAAGUCACGGCUAACUACGUGCCAGCAGCCGCGGUAA